AGAGUUUGAUCCUGGCUCAGGAUGAACGCUAGCGGCAGGCCUAAUACAUGCAAGUCGAGCGGCAAGUCGAGGAGUAAUCUAAGACCUAGAGCGGCGUACGGGUGCGUAACGCGUAUGCAACCUACCUCAUACAGGGGGAUAGCCCGGAGAAAUCUGGAUUAAUACCCCAUAGUACACAGUGAAGGCAUCUGAGUUGUGUUAAAGAUUUAUCGGUAUGAGAUGGGCAUGCGUCUGAUUAGCUAGUUGGCGGUGUAACGGACCACCAAGGCGACGAUCAGUAGGGGUUCUGAGAGGAAGGUCCCCCACACUGGCACUGAGAUACGGGCCAGACUCCUACGGGAGGCAGCAGUAGGGAAUAUUGGGCAAUGGUCGGAAGACUGACCCAGCCAUGCCGCGUGCAGGAAGAAGGCGUUCUGCGCUGUAAACUGCUUUUAUCUGGGAAGAAAAGGCCCAUGCGUGGGACAUUGCCGGUACCAGAUGAAUAAGCACCGGCUAACUCCGUGCCAGCAGCCGCGGUAAUACGGAGGGUGCAAGCGUUGUCCGGAUUUAUUGGGUUUAAAGGGUGCGUANGCGGCUAUUUAAGUCAGCGAUGAAAGACUUCGG
RNAcentral lists this ribosomal RNA (603 nucleotides) under uncultured freshwater bacterium. RNAcentral's name for it is "bacterial SSU rRNA". It matches the Rfam family "Bacterial small subunit ribosomal RNA", at positions 8 to 607 of the family's 1533-position model. The record is from RNAcentral.